Molecule: long non-coding RNA, 394 nt
Organism: Coregonus clupeaformis (lake whitefish)
Lineage: Eukaryota; Metazoa; Chordata; Actinopteri; Salmoniformes; Salmonidae
Exons: 3
Source: RefSeq, a predicted model, not a curated record
GAAACAUUAGAUUUGUUCAACUGUGUGGCUAUGUUAUUGUUGGACAUGUACCGAAAGCGCAACAAUAGGACUCGAACGAUUAUCACCUUAGCAACAGUAAGUAGUCAGACACAGCAUUCCAAAUCAUUCAUUAUUUUCCAAUUCUAAACCAUUUGCAAUAUGCAAAAAUUAUUCAGCGCGUUUCUAUGAGCAAUCCAAUGGCAUAUUUUAUGCUAGCUAAACGAAGAGGAUUCCACUUCAGGCAGCUGAUCUUAAUCAUCGAGUUGUACAGCCACUAUGACGUGUAUAACUACCUCAGACAAAUAGCACUGACCCUCUGCUCAGACAAAGUGUCGGAGGUCCGGUGGAUCUCUUACAAGCUGGUGGUGGAGAUCUUACAGAAGAUGUAUGCGUC